This 439-nucleotide ribosomal RNA is filed under the name uncultured bacterium. Its description in RNAcentral is "partial 16S ribosomal RNA". It matches the Rfam family "Bacterial small subunit ribosomal RNA", at positions 338 to 795 of the family's 1533-position model. The record is from RNAcentral.
CCUACGGGUGGCUGCAGUGGGGACUAUUGCACAAUGGGGGAAACCCUGAUGCAGCGACGCCGCGUGAGUGAAGAAGUAAUUCGUUAUGUAAAGCUCUAUCAGCAGGGAAGAAAUGCCGGUAGCUGAGUCAGCAGCCCCGGCUAACUACGUGCCAGCAGCCGCGGUACUACGUAGGGGGCAAGCGUUAUCCGGAUGUGAUGGGUGUAAAGGGAGCGUAGACGGCAGUGCAAGUCUGGAGUGAAAGGCGGGGGCUCAACCCCCGGACUGCUUUGGAAACUGUAAGGCUGGAGUGCAGGAGAGGUAAGUGGAAUUCCUGGUGUAGCGGUGAAAUGCGUAGAUAUUAGGAGGAACACCAGUGGCGAAGGCAGCUUACUAAACUGCCACUGACAUUGAUGCGCGAAAGUGUGGGUAUCAAACAGGAUUAGAUACCCUUGUAGUC